This 520-nucleotide ribosomal RNA is filed under the name uncultured bacterium. RNAcentral describes it as "bacterial SSU rRNA". It matches the Rfam family "Bacterial small subunit ribosomal RNA", at positions 8 to 518 of the family's 1533-position model. The record is from RNAcentral.
AGAGUUUGAUUAUGGCUCAGGAUGAACGCUAGCUACAGGCUUAACACAUGCAAGUCGAGGGGCAGCAUAUCGAAAGCUUGCUUUGAUGAUGGCGACCGGCGCACGGGUGAGUAACGCGUAUCCAACCUUCCCUAUACUAGAGGAUAGCCCGGCGAAAGUCGGAUUAAUACUCUAUGUUCUUCGUAGAAGACAUCUGAAAUGAAGCAAAGGUUUACCGGUAUAGGAUGGGGAUGCGUCUGAUUAGGUUGUUGGCGGGUAACGGCCCACCAAGCCCACGAUCAGUAGGGGUUCUGAGAGGAAGGUCCUCCACAUUGGAACUGAGACACGGUCCAAACUCCUACGGGAGGCAGCAGUGAGGAAUAUUGGUCAAUGGACGAGAGUCUGAACCAGCCAAGUAGCGUGCCAGGAUGACGGCCCUAUGGGUUGUAAACUGCUUUUAUACAGGGAUAAAGUUCACUACGUGUAGUGUUUUGUAGGUACUGUAUGAAUAAGGACCGGCUAAUUCCGUGCCAGCAGCAGC